AUUGAUUAAGAAGAAAUAUUCUUAUAAAUAGAUUUACAAUCUAUCGCCUAAACU
RNAcentral lists this transfer RNA (54 nucleotides) under Drosophila willistoni. RNAcentral describes it as "tRNA-Tyr". Lineage: Eukaryota; Metazoa; Arthropoda; Insecta; Diptera; Drosophilidae. RNAcentral also lists the same sequence under 1 other name. The record is from RNAcentral.